This 162-nucleotide ribosomal RNA is filed under the name Corynebacterium aurimucosum. RNAcentral's name for it is "partial 16S ribosomal RNA". It matches the Rfam family "Bacterial small subunit ribosomal RNA", at positions 1380 to 1533 of the family's 1533-position model. The record is from RNAcentral. Lineage: Bacteria; Bacillati; Actinomycetota; Actinomycetes; Mycobacteriales; Corynebacteriaceae.
CUUGUACACACCGCCCGUCACGUCAUGAAAGUUGGUAACACCCGAAGCCAGUGGCCUAAAACUUGUUAGGGAGCUGUCGAAGGUGGGAUCGGCGAUUGGGACGAAGUCGUAACAAGGUACCCGUACCGGAAGGUGCGGGUGGAUCACCUCCUUUCUAAGGAG